This is a long non-coding RNA of Medicago truncatula (barrel medic), 518 nucleotides long. RefSeq lists it as uncharacterized. The record is from RefSeq and is a predicted model, not a curated record. Lineage: Eukaryota; Viridiplantae; Streptophyta; Magnoliopsida; Fabales; Fabaceae. The transcript has 2 exons.
GUAUUAUUUUUUUUGGAGUAGGAGAGUGUUAGUUUCAUAAAAUAUAAAGUGGUAAAACAAUUUGAAGGGCAAAGGUGUAGGAAUAUGGCUCAAAUUUUCAAAUUUUUUUAUGUUAUGACUAUAUUUAUUUACCUAUUUCUUGUUUCAACGACUGUUGAUGCGGGUAUGAGAUGUAAUCAUGUCUCUGAUUGUCCAAAAGACACGUUUUGUUGGCUUGAUUCUCAUAUGCAAUGUAUAAAGCACCAAUGUAAAUGUGUUCGAAUCUUUGAGCCGAUAGAUCCCGCAUGAUUCUUUAUUUAGUGUCAGAUCUGUGAGCGUACACAAACAUCUUGAUACAAUAUUUCAUAGGUUGCCAUUUAGUUAUUGUGUUGGCACUCAAUAAUUUGAUUUUUUAUUUUAUUUUAAUAAUUUCAAGUCCAUGUAGUUAUGACUUUGUACUCAAAGAUGGUAGACAUGAAAUGAAAUAAGGCAACAAAUAAUAAUGUGUAAAUAAAUUGUCAUAUUCUCUCUUGAUUUUA